RNAcentral lists this ribosomal RNA (424 nucleotides) under uncultured bacterium. RNAcentral's name for it is "bacterial SSU rRNA". It matches the Rfam family "Bacterial small subunit ribosomal RNA", at positions 355 to 775 of the family's 1533-position model. The record is from RNAcentral.
UGAGGAAUAUUGGUCAAUGGGCGCAAGCCUGAACCAGCCAUCCCGCGUGCAGGAAGACGGCGCUAUGCGUUGUAAACUGCUUUUCCAGGGAGAGAAACUUGCGCACGUGUUGCGCAAUUGACGGUACCCUGGGAAUAAGCAUCGGCUAACUCCGUGCCAGCAGCCGCGGUAAUACGGAGGAUGCGAGCAUUAUCCGGAUUCAUUGGGUUUAAAGGGUGCGUAGGCGGACUAUUAAGUCAGUGGUGAAAUCCUGCAGCUUAACUGCGGAACUGCCAUUGAUACUGAUAGCCUUGAGUUUGGUUAAGGUAGGAGGAAUGUGUAAUGUAGCGGUGAAAUGCGUAGAUAUUACACAGAACACCAAUUGCGUAGGCAGCUUACUGAGCCGACACUGACGCUGAGGCACGAAAGCGUGGGGAUCGAACAG